RNAcentral lists this ribosomal RNA (606 nucleotides) under Nocardia cyriacigeorgica. RNAcentral's name for it is "bacterial SSU rRNA". It matches the Rfam family "Bacterial small subunit ribosomal RNA", at positions 46 to 669 of the family's 1533-position model. The record is from RNAcentral. Lineage: Bacteria; Bacillati; Actinomycetota; Actinomycetes; Mycobacteriales; Nocardiaceae.
GCUUAACACAUGCAAGUCGAGCGGUAAGGCCCUUCGGGGUACACGAGCGGCGAACGGGUGAGUAACACGUGGGUGAUCUGCCUCGCACUCUGGGAUAAGCCUGGGAAACUGGGUCUAAUACCGGAUAUGACCUUACAUCGCAUGGUGUUUGGUGGAAAGAUUUAUCGGUGCGAGAUGGGCCYGCGGCCUAUCAGCUUGUUGGUGGGGUAAUGGCCUACCAAGGCGACGACGGGUAGCCGGCCUGAGAGGGCGACCGGCCACACUGGGACUGAGACACGGCCCAGACUCCUACGGGAGGCAGCAGUGGGGAAUAUUGCACAAUGGGCGAAAGCCUGAUGCAGCGACGCCGCGUGAGGGAUGACGGCCUUCGGGUUGUAAACCUCUUUCGACAGGGACGAAGCGCAAGUGACGGUACCUGUAGAAGAAGCACCGGCCAACUACGUGCCAGCAGCCGCGGUAAUACGUAGGGUGCGAGCGUUGUCCGGAAUUACUGGGCGUAAAGAGCUUGUAGGCGGCUUGUCGCGUCGAUCGUGAAAACUUGGGGCUCAACCCCAAGCUUGCGGUCGAUACGGGCAGGCUUGAGUACUUCAGGGGAGACUGGAAUUC